UCUGGUGGCCGAAUGCCGCCAUGAUGAAAGGGAAUCCGGUGAAAAUCCGGAACUGUACCUGCAGCUGUAAUCCUCUUUUUUAGCGUGGUCUGCUUGUAUAACGCCACUGACACCAUUUGUCGGGAAGGCAGAGCAGACUGAGGAAAGUCAGAAGACCUGCCAACAAUUC
RNAcentral lists this non-coding RNA (169 nucleotides) under uncultured Prevotella sp. The record is from RNAcentral. Lineage: Bacteria; Pseudomonadati; Bacteroidota; Bacteroidia; Bacteroidales; Prevotellaceae.